Molecule: long non-coding RNA, 2122 nt
Filed under: Anolis carolinensis (green anole)
Lineage: Eukaryota; Metazoa; Chordata; Lepidosauria; Squamata; Anolidae
Description: lncRNA (ENSACAG00000035724.1)
Source: RNAcentral
CGCACCCGUCGCCCAGAAGGCGGGCCCGUUCCAGCGUGCGCCACGGCCUUGCCCGCUGCCGCCGCCAAAGUCUGCAAGGCAAGUGGGGUUUAUUUUUCUGCCAUUGGUUUGUGUGGGGGGGGGGGGUGCCAAAAUUCGGGAGGGGGCGCCAAAAUUAUGUUCACCUACUACUAAAAAUUACCUUGGGCCAGUUCUGAUCCUAGUACAGUAAACAUAAGAGAGUAAAAAGUACAAAAAUGAAUAAAUGUUUGACCCAUUGCAAUCAGAAAUGGGAUCAAAAAAGUGUUCCUGUCUGUUGUCAAUCAUUUUAUUUGAGCAUUGGCAGAUUACUAGGCUGAAGAGGCAAAAAGGAUAAAGCUGAUUUAGAUAUUGUAUGAACCCUACAUGAACAGUGAAGCAGCAUUGUCUCAAAUUGGCCCAUCUCAAAUAGGAUUAUUUCAAAGCUAUGAAAAAAGCAACAAAUGUAACAGUUCAUAGGGAACAUCUGCUGUAAGAAGGAAGACUUAAGAAGCUACAGGCUGAUGUUUUCAUCUGUGUUCAAAGAUGGGUCGUUACUGAGCUCUUUCUACAAUAAGGCCCCUAGCAUCUCCUUUAAUGAUUUUUCCAUUACGCAUAUCUCCAUUCAUCCCAUUUUUAAUAGCAACCCCACAGCAGUUGUUGACGGAAAUUGUUCUUGUACAUGUGGCCAUGGUGUAAUUCACUUGACCUAAGUUUUGUUGUUGUUUAUUCAUUCAGUUGUUUCCGAUUCUUCGUGACCUCACGGACCAGUUCAUGCCACAGCUUCCUGUUGGCCGUCGCCACCCUCAGUUCCUUCAAGGUCAGAGGUAUAGUGGCAACAUCAAAAGAUGAACUGCUCAACACAAGACUUCCCGCUCAAUUAUUCUGAAAUUCUCUCAAUGCCUGCAAGUGAAGAAACCUUUACAGAGAUGGAAAAUGAGGAAUGAAAACAAAUCAAUCAAAUGGAAGAUUAAAGCAAAUAAAGCUGUGGAAUGAUUUGACCUUAAUCUAAAUUGUAGCUGUUUUCAUAGAUUGUCCUUUGCACAAUUGAGAUUCAAUUAACAACUAAUAAUUGUACUUAUUUCCUACUUCAGCUCAAGGCAGAAUUAAGGUUACUGAAGCCCUGGAGCUAUUCCAAAGCAGUGUCCUUAUUGUGCAGGCAUGCAGCUCUGUGGUUGGCAUAACCAGGAUGUGACUAACAAACAAAAUCAUUGUUUCGCUUAUACUGUAUUUAGGAAUCAGUUGUGUUGCUGACAGUCACAUUUUUGCAGAGCUGGGUGUAGAACCAAACAGUUGGCAAUUGAAGUUUUGGAAACAGCAUUAGCUCAGCUACAAUUGUCACUAACCCUAUGUACCCUAAGAAAGUUAUUGCUUUUUUUAGUUAUUAGAGUUGAGAGAAAUCGUUUUGUGUAUAUGGAAGUUAUUACAGGUAAAUGAGGUGGCUUUAUUCCAGUGUCAUGGUCUCUGUCUAAUGAACCAUGGAUUAUAAAACAGGAAUUACAUGUUGCACCCGUAAGCUCUGUCUUUCCUUUCUCUGUAUCUUUUCCUUGCACAUAAUAAUACAGACCAAAUCUAGUUUGAAAAAAUUAAACUACAGUGUCUCAUUUGAGGUGUAAUGACACGCUGUUUUUAAAAAAGUGCCUGGAAUUCCUGUGUGUGAAGUAUUGAGGCGGGAGGUUAAAGAACCCCAGGAAAUACCAUAUAUGGGCAGAGAUGGCGACAGCUAGCGACCCGGGUGCAUAAACUCACAGAAACAUGUGACUUCUGGGAAAUCAUGUGUUUCUGAAGAAAUGAAAGCUAAAGAUAAACAAACAGCGCAUGCGUACGCAGGCGCUCUGAAUGAUUUGUGAGCACGGCACAGAAAGGGUGCAGCCGGCCCGCUGGUAAGCACUGAUUGGGUCCAAGUCAGGCAGCAUCACAACUCUAAGCCAAUGAAUUUGCUUGUGGGCGGGCAUAACCCGAACCCUGUAGUGUGUAUAAAUAUUUACUCAGCCGGCCACUGUUUGUUCUCCCUGGAGAAGCACUUACUUUGUGCGAGGGGGAACCCUAGUGGCCAUUAGCGAAAUAAAACUGCUUUCUUGGAAUUCCUUCAGUUGUCCGUCUCCAUUCCUCCACUGCGCUCGAA